Molecule: non-coding RNA, 198 nt
Organism: Oryza glaberrima (African rice)
Lineage: Eukaryota; Viridiplantae; Streptophyta; Magnoliopsida; Poales; Poaceae
Source: Rfam
AAAGAUAGCAGUUUUGCACUGUUUAUAUACAACCUUUGAGUGUCCAUCUUAUUUGAAAUUUUUUAUGAUUAGUAUUUUUGUUGUUAUUAGAUAAUAAAACAUGAGUAGUACUUUAUGUGUGUCUAAUUAUUAUUUGUUUUUUAUCAAAUAAGACGGAUGGUCAAAUGUUGGACAUGGAAAUUCACAAAUGCAUUUAAA